GGCGGGAGGGAGCCCCCGCCCCGCGCCGUGACGACUGCGGACCCACCGAGCCCCGCUCCCGCCGCGGCCCGGGGUGCGGGCGGGCGGCCCCUCGGCGGGAGCCGGCCAGGAUGCCGGGGACAUGAGCAAUGGAUGAUUUUGGCUUCCUCUGAAUAACUCCUGAGAGGGCAUGUGUAGUUCCUCUGUGGGAGGACAUUGUCACCUGUGUCAACAGCUUUGAGGCUUUAGCUAAACUUGUGGGAGAGAAAGAUAUGGCAUGUGGAAGACACUGUGCAUGAGGUGAAUGAGGAGUUCUUCCAGCUCUCUUCUCCAGCCCUGGAGCUCCAGAAAGAGGAGGAUGAGCCAGACCCACUGCCCCCAGGUGAAGGCAGCACAUUUGUGCGUUUGCUCUAAGCUGAGGGGUCAGUUCCUCUGUGAACCCGCCCUCCGUCCACCUCAGACGGGCAGCCGUGAAGGUAGCUCGACAGCAGAGGGACUAGGUAGGUGCAGCAGCCUGUCCUCAGCUGCACUGAGGGGCCAGAAGAGCAUGACUCGUUGAGGUUAAAGUAACAGGUGAUCAUCCUUAAAAAUACAUUCUAUACAAAUAUCCCUGGUUUUAAGGAAGGGAAAAUUAGGAUUAGAUGAGGGAUUAUAAAAUAUGCUGAGAUUUAAUUAUUCAAUAAUCAUUCUAAAUUAUUAAACAUGACAAUUGUAUAAUGAUAUAGUUGGCCACUGUUGUGCAUUACUGUGGUGACAGAAACUUGUGAACACUGUGUCUUCAUUUGUUAAUCAUGAGGUCAGUCCCUGGAGGGAGCUCACUGGCAUAUUCCCAUGUUUGGGGUGGAUGUUGGUGCCUAGAGAGUGUCUAAAUGACAAAAGUCAGGGCCAAGACCACAGAGAGGGCUCAGGAUAGAGUGAGCUGAGAGCGUUCAGGGGUCACCUGUCCAUGUUGUGCAUCUGUCAUUCCCAGGUGGCUCCCAGCAUCUCCCCUUGUGAGUGGCAGGAA
Molecule: long non-coding RNA, 985 nt
Organism: Lemur catta (Ring-tailed lemur)
Lineage: Eukaryota; Metazoa; Chordata; Mammalia; Primates; Lemuridae
Exons: 4
Source: RefSeq, a predicted model, not a curated record